RNAcentral lists this microRNA precursor (114 nucleotides) under Bigelowiella natans CCMP2755. Its description in RNAcentral is "miRNA EPrBNAG00000013396". The record is from RNAcentral. Lineage: Eukaryota; Cercozoa; Chlorarachniophyceae.
UGAUGAUGAUGAUGAUGAUGAUGAUGAUUAUGACCAUAAUGCGAAGUAAUCGAUAAUAACAAUCAAUAAAUCAAUGAAUCAUCAUCAUCGUGAUCAUCAUCAUCAUCAUCAUAA